Cyprinus carpio (common carp) is the source of this 1755-nucleotide long non-coding RNA. The record is from Ensembl. NCBI's taxonomy places the organism in Eukaryota, Metazoa, Chordata, Actinopteri, Cypriniformes, Cyprinidae.
AAAUCAUGUACCACGUUGUCAGCUUUGUUGACACUGAAGAAGUGGAGGUUGUGCCUGCAAUCUGGGUGAAGAAUGGUGUGUGUUUAUGGCCUCCAUACGAGGGUGAAAUCAUUCAGAGGGCAGCCAAGUGUUUGGAGCAACCUCAGAAAUCUUGGUCUGCAUAUAAAGUUACGAUUAUGUAUACUGCAAAUAAUUAUAAUGAAGCAUGUCUGAAGCUACCUCUUGCAGAACAGCAGAGCGAUCUCCAGUCAGAGGCUGAGCCCGACUCCCAGAGGCCCUCAAAACGAAGAAAAAAACGAAACGGGCACCUACUGGAUGAUUUUGACAGUAAUGAGGAGGCUACCGCACCCCUAAAAAACAAUUUGGCACAGUCCCCUCAAAUACAGCCACUAUCCAAAAGGAUAUGUUCACCUUCUAAUGAUUUACAACCAAGUCCUCUAGGACAAAGACAAACGCAGCCCUCUGUAUGGCACCAAAACUCCCCGGGUGUGACACAGAUUGCGGAAACUUCAAGACCAUCCCAGCCGUGGCAAGCGAGUAGUUCUGACCGAGCAUCACGAGACAUCACAGAACAUAAGAGUGAACUCACAUGGCCACAGGACACAACUGUACAGUCCCCCGAACAGGCGGCACAGUUACCGUGGCAUCAUGAAACACCCGGACCCCAGAGAAAAAGCCUCUCGAGCUGUGACCCAUUCAUAACAUGUAAGAGUUUCUGUUUUCUGACAUUUCUAUUCACUGCUAGUGUUAGAAUCAUUUCAUAGCAUGGGUGGUGUGGUAAACCUUGCUAUUCCCGUGUUUGUUUCAGCACUUCUCCAUGACAUAAUAACUAAACAAGAAAUUCUGAUGGAGCAGCAGAGGAACAUUAUAAGGAUGGUGCAAGAUCUCAAAGCAAACAAUGUUCGUGAGAUCACAGAGGCUAACCAUUUAAGUCCAAAACUGUUUCCAAUGGAAGAUCUAACGUCAUUAACGUCCCUUGAAAGUGAUUUUCGAUCCUGUCCGGAAACGAGACCAAAAGUGGAAACAGAAAGUGGGAGUGGAGAAGAUGAAAUGGCACUCAAGGAUGAAGAAUCCUGUCCGGUACAAAUAGGAGAUCAACGGGCACCAAAGAUGGGCAAACCCUGUGGUCCUAAAUGUGGAAAGAAAUGUACGGAGAAGAUCCCGCAUGUUCGAAGAAAAGAGAUAUUUGAUGCCUAUCAAGACAUGUCACACAGCGACAAGUGGGCUUUUGUAUUUCACUCCGUUACCCAAUCAUUGAAAACACGUCUCACGACGGGAGGUCCCAGCAGACGCAACAAGACUUUUCAGUAUCGUCUAAAUAACAGCCUCGGGCAGCCUCAAGAUGUUUGCAAAACCUUCUACCUAACCACACUGGGAUACCAUCCGAAAAACGACAGCAUGAUUGUCAGCGUGACGGGCAACACGUCCAGUGCUGUUCCUCCUCCAGACCGUAGAGGGCGACACCCACCUGCCAAUAAAAUAGAUCUGUCGCCAAUUCACCAACACAUUGAAACGUUCAAUCCAACUAUCAGUGACUGUACGUGUGAACAUGCUGAAAGCAGGCGAUAUUUAUCAAGCAAUGUAACCGUCAUGAUGAUGUAUAAAGACUUUAAAGGCAAAAGUGCAACUGCGUGUUCAUAUGAAACCUAUAGGAAAGCCAUAAGAGACAUGAAUAUAGGUUUCAGGAAACUGCACGCAGAAGAGUGCAAAGAGUGUCUGGAGCGCGGUAUUCACGUGAAGACUGAGCAUCUCUAA